AGUUUGAUCCUGGCUCAGGAUGAACGCUGGCGGCAUGCCUAAUACAUGCAAGUCGAACGAGAGACCUUCGGGUCUCUAGUGGCGAACGGGUGAGUAACACGUAGGGAACCUGCCCGCGCACCGGGAAUACGCUCUGGAAACGGAGAACAAAUCCCGAUGUACAGGAAGGAGGCAUCUUCUUUCUGUGAAACAUCCUUUAGGGGAUGGGGCGCGGAUGGACCUGCGGUGCAUUAGUUGGUUGGCGGGGUAAAGGCCCACCAAGACGAUGAUGCAUAGCCGGCCUGAGAGGGCGGACGGCCACAUUGGGACUGAGACACGGCCCAGACUCCUGCGGGAGGCAGCAGUAGGGAAUUUUCGUCAAUGGGCGCAAGCCUGAACGAGCGAUGCCGCGUGAGUGAAGAAGGCCUUCGGGUCGUAAAGCUCUGUUGCGGGGGAAAAAAGGCAGCAUCAGGAAAUGGGUGCUGACUGAUGGUGCCCCGCCAGAAAGUCACGGCUAACUACGUGCCAGCAGCCGCGGUAAUACGUAGGUGGCGAGCGUUAUCCGGAAUGAUUGGGCGUAAAGGGUGCGCAGGCGGUCCUGCAAGUCUGGAGUGGAACGCAUGAGCUCAACUCAUGCAUGGCUUUGGAAACUGGAGGACUGGAGAGCAGGAGAGGGCGGUGGAACUCCAUGUGUAGCGGUAAAAUGCGUAGAUAUAUGGGAAGACACCCAGUGGCGAAAGCGGCCGCCUGGGCUGUUGCUGACGCUGAGGCACGAAAGCGUGGGGAGCCAAUAGGGAUUAGAUACCUAGUAGUCCACGCCGUAACGAGGAGGA
This 812-nucleotide ribosomal RNA is filed under the name uncultured bacterium. RNAcentral's name for it is "bacterial SSU rRNA". It matches the Rfam family "Bacterial small subunit ribosomal RNA", at positions 10 to 815 of the family's 1533-position model. The record is from RNAcentral.